CAACCAUUGAUUCUUAAGACGCUUAUAUCUCAAGCAUGACCUCCAAGGUCCUCAAAAUUUUAUCUUUUAUUCCCCUUUUAAAAUUCAUUUUAAAAAUGUUUUUGAUGCAUUUUUUUAUUUUAUAUUUUUUUGACCUUUGUUGACUUCUGUUGGCCUUGGAUCAUGGUUGUUUUGAUCAUAAGUCUCAUCAAACUCAACGGAUCUGGGGUGUUUAUGAGGUGAAAAC
RNAcentral lists this long non-coding RNA (226 nucleotides) under Lathyrus oleraceus (garden pea). RNAcentral describes it as "Pisum sativum (pea) long non-coding RNA (PSAT_LNC024223)". Lineage: Eukaryota; Viridiplantae; Streptophyta; Magnoliopsida; Fabales; Fabaceae. The record is from RNAcentral.